Molecule: long non-coding RNA, 259 nt
Organism: Chenopodium quinoa (quinoa)
Lineage: Eukaryota; Viridiplantae; Streptophyta; Magnoliopsida; Caryophyllales; Amaranthaceae
Exons: 3
Source: RefSeq, a predicted model, not a curated record
GGAGCAAUUUCUGCUUUCCUGCUCUUUGAACCAGACAUUUAAGAUUUGGGCUGCCACUAAAGCAGGAGAACUAGAGGUCACUUAUGAACACUAGGAGAAGCAUGUUGCAUAGUGGAAUUCUACAUUCAAUUUCAAAUGUAGGUUGUAUAAUGGAAUUCUACUUGGAAUGAGGGACUAGUGAAGCUAACUUGGCAAUGUUGCAGCUUCUGCUGUCCUGCCAAGGUUGCUGCUGCAGCUGCCCUUCCGUCAAGAAUUUUUA